Molecule: long non-coding RNA, 2346 nt
Filed under: Rattus norvegicus (Norway rat)
Lineage: Eukaryota; Metazoa; Chordata; Mammalia; Rodentia; Muridae
Description: long non-coding RNA NONRATT022206
Source: RNAcentral
GGGAGCCCAUCUCUUGCUCCAUGGUCCUUUACAGACCAAGACGAUGCUUACCAUUUUGGACCAGCCGUUUCUUUCUCCUUUACAGUUGAAUGGCAGAAGAGCACAGGCUGAAUCAGACUGUGCAGAGCUAGCCCCACAGCUCAUCCUCAGAACCAGGUCUGUCCAGGAUGGCACAGGACAGCCGACCUCUCCUCCAUAAGCAUCCAGUGUUGCUCAAAGGGAGGACCCACUGCUCCCUAGUCUGUUGAUACAGAAGCCCGCCCCAGCGCAGUGUCCACAAUCUCUCUUGGAUGCGGCCUCCCCGGAGAGCCCCCUGCAGUGUUUAUAGAGGUACACUUUCAUCAACCUAGUGAGACUCGUUCUCUUUCCAAGCCUUUCUAUCACUGUGACUGUCUGAAAUUCUGCCAAGUGUAAAAUUAAUGGCUCUGAUGAGGGUCUGAGAAAUGUUUCAGUCUUUCCCAUUUCGGCCACCAAAAGUUAAGCUCAAUGCUUUUCCUAUCCUGAGCUCUAACCAAGGGAGGCUUGGGUUACAUACAUGCUUCUCUGAAGACCACUUUCUCCAAGCCUGGUUUUCACCCAGAAACUCUCUUCCCAAUAUUCAGAUUAAAUAAGGGAAUGUCAGGAUGCCACAGCAGAGCUGCAGGGACAGAGUUGCUGAGAGUGGCUCAGCUCCGCGUAACCUCUCCAGGUCUGUCCCUUGGCCUCCUUCCCCAGCAAAACAUUUGAUCUGUGGUCCCUAUGGUAUCCCAGGGAUGAAGCAGUCUCCUCACUCCUAGGUACUGAUUCAACUCAAGUGCUCUUCCUUUGAGGAAAGCUGCAGCAGAAGCCAUGGAUACGUUGCCUCUUUCUACCCCCAGCCCAAGCAAUGGGCUGGCAGGGUAAAUACUUGCCUUUCUGGCCCUAGUGCUUCCUGUGGGAGGCCAUCUGGACCUUGUUUAAGUGGCCAAGCCGUGGAGUUCCCCCAUUCCUAUCACCAAGACAGAAAGCACAGAAUUCAACUGCCUGAGAUGAGGGCACUCCACUGGGAAGUGAGUGCCAGGGUUGUCCCAUGCCUUAGCCCAAAGCACAAUAGUCAUUGCAGGCAUCAUGGCUUCCAGAAGUUCAUAAAACAGUAAGGCUAGGAGAAACUGUCUCGUAGGGGCCAUCCAGCCAUGACUACCCCAGAGCCAAAGUAAGCAACCUUGAGGCACAAAACUUGAACUGGCAGCCAGCUCUGGCAUUCCAUGUCUCCUUCCAACCAACAAAGUAAAGACACAUACUCUGUAUGCAUGUGCAUACAGAGAGACACAAGUGUACAGGGUCAUUCGUGGCCCAGAGCAUGGAAAAGAGGAGCAGGUCUUGUCUGGACCAGUGAUCAAGAGACCCAUUUCUAUUCUGGAAACCCAUUCCGAGAACUGUGUCACUAGGCGAUGUCAUCUUAGUGCAAAGAGUGCUCUUGCACAAACCAAACAGCUACCACAUGAGUAGGCAAUAUUAUUUACGGGACCACCAUUGUACAUGUCAUCUGUUGUUGGUUGAAAUGUCACUAGGUGGCACAUGACUAUUCUGUACUUGGCACUGAGAGGCAAAACAACCUUGAUGCUGAAUUUUCAGACCAUCCUGGCAGGACCUGUAACCAGGGCCCCUUUCUAACCUGCCAUUUACAGUGGGGCCAGAUCUCCUCGUUCUUCUUGUCAUCUGGGUUUCUCUUGCUCACUGUCUCUCUCGUGUCCUGGCUGCAGCCCAGACAACGGAGAUCUUAAGUGGGCAUGAUCAGUAUAUGGCCUGGUCCCACAGCUCAGCUCUGGAAAAUGGUGGAGCCAAGCACCACUCCUGCUGCUGCUUGCCUAUUGCCACUGUUUUUGGCAACCCUGUAAAGAAAAGGAUAGGCUACACAGAAUUCCCAUUAGAUCAACACUAAAGAAAAAUGGCUCCCCUCUGGGAUGCAUGCCCCAGUGGCUCAGAGCAUGGCGACACGGGGUUAGGUCUGGUCUAGAUGGAUAACUAAAGCCCAUUCCAUUCUACUUUGGAAUAGAAAGGGCUGCCCUUUCUAUGUCAACAAUCAGCAAAGGCCUUCAAGUUUAGCCUCUAAGCAUUAAGGGAUAUCCAUGGUUUGUUUCCAGCCAAACAGACUGGGAAGGAGACUCAGAGCCCUUCAGUAACCGAGGAUCCAAGGCCCUCUGGCUCCUCGUGUCCUUCCCAUGCACCUUUUCUGCUGAAGGUGACUUGGCAGUAAUUGGAGGGGACCAACCCCAAGCCCUGUCUUCCUGUCUACAGCUGCAUGAUUCUCCCUGUGACCCAGCCUUUGCAGUACUCCAGGCGGAGGCUGGGCACUGCGGAAACCAUAAUAAACAGAUUGCGGUGUUG